GAUGAAGAACGCAGCGAAAUGCGAUAAGUAAUGUGAAUUGCAGAAUUCAGUGAAUCAUCGAAUCUUUGAACGCAUCUUGCGCUCCUUGGUAUUCUGAGGAGCAUGCCUGUUUGAGUGUCAUUAAAUUCUCAACUACACUGACUUUGAAUUGGUGUGGCUUGGAUUUGGGGGGAAAAUUGUUGUGGGCUUUUGUAUAGUCUGCUCCCCUGAAAUUGAUUAGCGGUACCUUUGUGGAACUGUCUACAGGUGUGAUAAUUAUCUACAUCUUAGACAUCUGCUGGAAUGCUGCUUUCUAAACCUUACUUGUAUUGACAAUCUUGACCUCAAAUCAGGUAGGACUACCCGCUGAACUUAAGCAUAUCAAUAAGCGGAGGA
This 375-nucleotide unclassified non-coding RNA is filed under the name soil metagenome. Its description in RNAcentral is "partial contains 5.8S ribosomal RNA, internal transcribed spacer 2, and large subunit ribosomal RNA". The stretch from base 1 to 120 matches the Rfam family "5.8S ribosomal RNA", at positions 35 to 154 of the family's 154-position model. The record is from RNAcentral.